GGACUACCGGGGUAUCUAAUCCCAUUCGCUCCCCUGGCUUUCGUUCCUCAGCGUCAGUUAUAGCCCAGCAAGCCGCUUACGCCACUGGUGUUCUUCCCAAUAUCUACGCAUUUCACCGCUACACUGGGAAUUCCGCUUGCCUCUACUACACUCCAGUCUGCCAGUAUCCAAUGCACUCCCGGGGUUGAGCCCCGAUCUUUAACAUCAGACUUAACAAACCACCUACGAACUCUUUACGCCCAAUAAAUCCGGACAACGCUCGCAUCCUACGUCUUACCGCGGCUGCUGGCAC
RNAcentral lists this ribosomal RNA (292 nucleotides) under uncultured bacterium. RNAcentral's name for it is "partial 16S ribosomal RNA". The record is from RNAcentral.